AGAAUCAACGCUGGCGGCGUGCCUAACACAUGCAAGUCGCACGAGAAAGGGUAGCAAUACCUGAGUACAGUGGCGCACGGGUGAGUAACACGUGAAUAAUCUACCUCCGAGUGGGGAAUAACUGAGAGAAAUCUUAGCUAAUACCGCAUAAUACCCACGGGUCAAAGCAGCAAUGCGCUUGGAGAGGAGUUCGCGGCAGAUUAGUUAGUUGGCGGGGUAAUGGCCCACCAAGACGAUGAUCUGUAUCCGGCCUGAGAGGGCGCACGGACACACUGGAACUGAAACACGGUCCAGACUCCUACGGGAGGCAGCAGUGGGGAAUUUUGCGCAAUGGGGAAACCCUGACGCAGCAACGCCGCGUGGAGGAUGAAGCCCCUUGGGGUGUAAACUCCUUUCGAUCGGGAAGAUAAUGACGGUACCGAUAUAAGAAGCCCGGCUAACUUCGCGCCAGCAGCCGC
This 458-nucleotide ribosomal RNA is filed under the name uncultured bacterium. RNAcentral's name for it is "SSU rRNA". It matches the Rfam family "Bacterial small subunit ribosomal RNA", at positions 26 to 518 of the family's 1533-position model. The record is from RNAcentral.